Long non-coding RNA from Brassica napus (rape), 487 nucleotides. RefSeq lists it as uncharacterized. NCBI's taxonomy places the organism in Eukaryota, Viridiplantae, Streptophyta, Magnoliopsida, Brassicales, Brassicaceae. The transcript is spliced from 4 exons. The record is from RefSeq and is a predicted model, not a curated record.
CUGUCCUCUUCUAAACUCUCCGUAAAGGCCAGUCGCCCUGGUAACAAUAUUGCUCUGUUGCAGAGCAGAGAAUGCGAGCUCAUCACGCCAAGUCACAAGCUUUAGACAAGGGUCAUCCGCUCCUGACUGGUGUCUUCUCAUUUCGUAGUUGUCUAGUAAGCGAAGAUCGAACUUGAGAGAGACAGGUUCACGCUUUCAUCAUCAUCACGAUGCUUUUCUAUCUCUAUCUACUGGAACAUGAGAGCAUAACGGACAAAGGUAUGCAGCUGGUAGCUGAAAGUUAUCAAGACUUGAGAGUCACUGAAUAUCACUAGUUGAAGGAAAACUGAACGAGUUACUAGAUCCUGUGGGAGGGAAAAACAGUAAAAGGCUAUUGCAGCAGUGGAUGAUUCUCGAUGCCCUUUUGAAGACAAAGCCAGGAACUGUUUUAGUACUAUGAAUAUGUUUUAGUGGGGACGUAAUCAAGAAACAAGAAUGGUACCGUCUU